This 500-nucleotide ribosomal RNA is filed under the name uncultured bacterium. Its description in RNAcentral is "partial 16S ribosomal RNA". It matches the Rfam family "Bacterial small subunit ribosomal RNA", at positions 30 to 523 of the family's 1533-position model. The record is from RNAcentral.
AUUGAACGCUGGCGGAAUGCUUUACACAUGCAAGUCGAACGAUGAGACCUAGCUUGCUAGGUUGAUUAGUGGCGAACGGAUGAGUAAAGUAUCGGCACGUAUCCAAUAAUGGGGGUUAACUAACCGAACGGUUAGCUAAUACCGCAUACGCCCGACGGGGGAAGGCAGGGGAUCUUCGGACCUUGAGUUAAUGGAUCGGCCAAUAUCUGAUUGGCUAGUUGGUGAGGUAAAGGCUCACCAAGGCGACGAUCAGUAGCUGGUCUGAGAGGACGACCAGCCACACUGGAACUGAGACACGGUCCAGACUCCUACGGGAGGCGGCAGUGGGGAAUUUUGGACAAUGGGCGAAAGCCUGAUCCAGCCAUUCCGCGUGAGUGAAGAAGGCCUUCGGGUUGUAAAGCUCUUUCGCAAAGGAAGAAAACUUACUUUCUAAUAAAGAGUGAGGUUGACGGUACCUUGAUAAGAAGCACCGGCUAACUACGUGCCAGCCGCCGCAGUAA